GGCGCACGGGUGAGUAACGCGUAAGUAAUCUACCCCCGCAUUCGGAAUAACUCGUCGAAAGGUGAGCUAAUACCGGAUACGUUUAUCUUGAUGCGAAUGAUGAUAAAGAAAGGUGGCCUCUUCAUGAAAGCUACUGUGCAGGGAUGAGCUUGCGUACCAUUAGCUAGUUGGUAGGGUAAUGGCCUACCAAGGCGACGAUGGUUAGCGGGUCUGAGAGGAUGAUCCGCCACACUGGAACUGGAACACGGACCAGACUCCUACGGGAGGCAGCAGUGAGGAAUAUUGCGCAAUGGGGGCAACCCUGACGCAGCGACGCCGCGUGGAUGAUGAAGGCCCUUGGGUCGUAAAAUCCUGUCAGAUGGAAAGAAAUGUAUGGGUGUUAAUAUCGCCUGUAUUUGACGGUACCAUCAAAGGAAGCACCGGCUAACUCCGUGCCAGCAGCCGCGGUAAUACGGAGGGUGCGAGCGUUGUUCGGAAUUACUGGGCGUAAAGCGCGCGUAGGCGGUUUGCUAAGUCAGAUGUGAAAGCCCUCGGCUUAACCGGGGACGUGCAUUUGAAACUGGCAGACUUGAGUACUGGAGGGGGUGGUGGAAUUCCCGGUGUAGAGGUGAAAUUAGUAGAUAUCGGGAGGAAUACCGGUGGCGAAGGCGACCACCUGGCCAGAUACUGACGCUGAGGUGCGAAAGCGUGGGGAGCAAACAGGAUUAGAUACCCUGGUAGUCCACG
Molecule: ribosomal RNA, 726 nt
Filed under: uncultured bacterium
Lineage: Bacteria
Description: bacterial SSU rRNA
Rfam family: Bacterial small subunit ribosomal RNA
Source: RNAcentral